AGCCUCAACAGCCCUUGGAUCAACAUCUGCAGUAAGGGACUUCAAAACACAUCUUCUACACGUGACAAGCACAUGUAUACGACGCCCCUUGAAGUGGGGGCAUUUGUAGACAUCAAAAUUUCGGUAAAAUAAAUGUUGAAAUUUCAACGUUUAUGUGUCAUAUAAAUUUUACACAUAGCAUGUGACUAAACGAAAAAUCAAAAUAAAUCAGAAAAGUCAUCAAACAAGACACAUGUCAACACCUGGCAGAAAUGAUUUAUUUCAUCUAAUUAUUUAAAUCCAAAAAAUCAAGUUUUGGAAUUCUAUAAAUAGGAGGCCAAGGCAUUCAUUUUGGCGACUAAUUCAUAACAAUUCACCUCUCACCACAACCUUGAAGCUUUGAAACUCCAAAGCUCCCAACCAAAUCCCGAAGGAUCAAGAAAGCUCUCUUCGUUCUUCAUCAAUCUCAUUCAAAAUCAGCCCAACGGCCCUUGAAGAACUUCCCUAAUUCAAGAUCAAGCCCCGACGACCUUUGAAGAAAGUGUCCAUCAUUCAUCAUUCGUUCAUCCCUAGAUCAAGCCUCGACAGCCCUUUGGAUCAACAACGUCAACAAAUCCGCACAACUGUUUAUCCCAAGAUCAAGCCCCGACGGCCCUUUGGACCAACAACAUCAAAUCUACCCAUUACAAAGAUACAAUCAGAGGCUAAAUUUGUAAAAGAGAUUGUAACCCCUAAAUCAUCAAUACAAAUAUUAUUUUGUACACGUGUUCUUGUCUCGUUCAUCGCAGGAAUUUCCGUGUUUACAAUGAUGUUGGCUCCAUUGCACUUAGUUAAGUCAUUCCCACCAUGCAGGUUCGAGUAGGGGUUCAAGAACAACCUCACAAUGAUAUGAUGAUCAUUCUCGUUGCCUACCUUCAUAACAUCAUGUAUGCAUAUAGAACUCCUCCUGAGUGUAAGCACGCACUUUGUACUCCCCCAUGAUAGGGUAAAGUCGGUGUACGAGUCACAAACGAUUAGAGCCUACCACGGUGGAAGGCCACUAAAGAGUGUUCAAAGCACUCUCA
RNAcentral lists this long non-coding RNA (1043 nucleotides) under Malus domestica (apple). RNAcentral describes it as "long non-coding RNA (MDOM_LNC020260)". The record is from RNAcentral. Lineage: Eukaryota; Viridiplantae; Streptophyta; Magnoliopsida; Rosales; Rosaceae.